Homo sapiens (human) is the source of this 4425-nucleotide long non-coding RNA. Lineage: Eukaryota; Metazoa; Chordata; Mammalia; Primates; Hominidae. The record is from Ensembl.
GUAGUGAUUUUAUGCUAGUUUCAUUCCCUUUAAAUACAAAAUUUGCUUUUUUAUCUGAAAAAUGUUCUCAGGCCCAUGUGAUUUUUACAUACAACAAUUUAAAAUUCUUUCAUAGCUCCUCAUUGUAAACCUCAUAGGAAACCUAUACUCUGUAUCAAACGUAAAUGGCAUUCCAUUAGCUGGCCUCUGUCCACUUCUUCAUAUACACUGUGCCUGUGCUACUAACCCAUCACACCCAAGUUCCUUUGUACAGUUCUUUAAAUGCACCGUUCUCCUACAAACCUCUCAUUUGUCUCUGAGGUUGGACUUUACUCCUUCUUCCCCUGGCCUUUCCCUAUUCAUAUACUUAAAUUUAAAUUAUCAAAAUCUCUUGACUAAUUAAUAUUUCCACCAUAAUAUUAAGUGUGUGAACAUUGAGAUGUUAUUACAAGAUUACUGUUGGUGCGAUUGUUUUGAAGGAAAGUUUUCCCAAAGCCAAACUCCCCAAAGGGACUUAAAUCAGGGUUCAACAAAGAGUAAGUGAUAUUAAAUAUUUAAUCUUAAUAUAUAUACAUAUAUGUGUAUAUAUAUGUGUGUGUGUAUAUAUAUAUGUGUAUAUAUAUAUGUGUGUGUAUACAUAUAUAUAUGAGACUGACAUUUUAUAGUUUGAAUUGAAAAUAUUUUACAUGGAUUUAAAGUUGCCAAUGAGGUGAUUAUCUGGAACCCAUUUUCAAAUCCUCUUUUUUUUGUGAAAUGAUUUGAGACACAGAAAAAUACCCCAUAGCUUUCCUUCACAGUGCCUGCCUCUGCCAAGUCUCUCCUGACCCCCAUAGACAGACUUAGCUGCCACACUCCUGUUGCUUUCCUUUGUAAUUGCUUAUAUGUUUGCUGUCUUUCUAACUUCUGCAAGCCUAAUCUCUUCCUCUCAGUUAUCUUGUUGUGUAAUAGUGCCUGGGAUGCAGCAAGCAACCAAGACAUUGCUUAUUAAAGGAAUCAUUGCAGGAUUUAAUAUAUACUACAUAGACACACUUGGUAGUAUCUGAGUUUGAUUUUUGUUGAUUGAGUAACUUAUCCUUACGUAGAGAUGCUGAAUAUCAGCUGUUAGAGAAUAGUCUGGCAAAUGGAACACGAUUGUGAUUGUGAUUUGAUGGGCAAAUGUCGUGUUAAUCUUUUUGUUUUCUGGCUGAUAGUUAAAUCUCUAGUACUGUACAUCAAAAGUGUCACAGCUAAGCAAUCUGAGGGAUUAAAUGACUCCUCAUAAUUUCUGUGUUGUUAAAUAGCAGAAGGAUAUUAUCUAAUCACUGUUGUCAGUGUAUGCUGGUGAACUCUUAUGGAAAACAUUUUCUUUUCUACUUUGAAAGCAUUAGGAAACACACUCAAAUUACAUUUUAAAAUGUUGUUUUCUGGAGUACACAAACAAUCUAUUUCAGUGCUAUUUCACUGUCAGUCAUUUCAAGUAUUUUACUAUAAACGCCCCAGUAGUGGUCACCUUUUAUAUUCAGGGCUUGUGUGUGUGUGUGAAUUGCUUCUGUGAUAACUCUUACAAAAUUAAUUUUUGAAUUAUUUGCUGUUUUGUCAUGACAGCUACAUAUGUAUGUUGUCGUUAUGUCUGAACACUAAUAGAUGCUUAAGAUUUUGUUGGCUUAAUUAUUUCUGAUAGCAUUUCUAAUGAUACUAUGUAAAACUCAUAUAACCCUCUACAUUUUACCUCUGGCUAAACAUUAGGCCUCCUUUUCUUGUCUCGUGUUUCCCAUUAAGUUUUCAAAAGCUAAAAAGGCCCAUUUUCUCUUUUAAAUGACUCAUUAUUGGAAACAGUUUCAAAGAGAACUGUGUAGCAGUUAAGAAAGGAAAGGUAUGAGAUAUCUCUUACUGUCUCUUACAGGUUUAUUCAGCAAGAAUACUUGACUUUCUGUCUCUUACAGGUUUACUCAGAAAGAAUACUUGAAAAUAGAUUACACAUAAUUACUUCACAAGGAGCUUUUUAAAAUCCAAUUACAAGAUUUCUAAUUUAAGUGAAAAAAUGGGAAAAAAAUAAGCUCCAGUCUCACUUAAAUCCAUUGUGCUAUUUUGCAGAAUAUCAAGUCCAUCUUGGGAGUUUAACUGUGGGAGGACUUUGUAAUAGCACUGUCUCCCUAUAACAGGAUUCCACAGAUAGCAUUAUGAUGAGACUCCUGUAUGUGUUCAUUUAAUUUCAGGGGUUGCUGCACUAAACAAUAAACCAAAUUUGAGAGCCUGAAUCCGGAUGUAUCUUGUCAGUUUCUUUCCCAGUCAGUUCAAUCAAAUGUCAUUCUAUUCAAUUGAAUAUACACAGGGUGAAUUUCAAGUAAGAGAAAAUUUAACUUGAGUGACAGAUUUUCUCUAAAAGUUGCUUUUGUUUGAUUUCAUCUUUUUUUCCUUUCUUUACUGUGAAACCACACAAUGAAAUGGAAAUCAGGAUGUCGAUUCUGUUGCUGCUGCAGCUUUCUGCUUCUGACUUAGGCUUUUGCAUGAGUAAAAGUAGUUGCUUCAUAUAUUCCUCAUGUGGAUGUGCAGGAUGUGCCCUGUACAAAAAUCCAGGAAGCACUGUUUACAGAGACCAUUAUGUGCAUGACUACAACUAGAGUUUUAUGUUGCCCAUCUUGGAUGACUGUAAACAGAAGACCGCUGAGCUUCCUCAAUUUGAAAGAGGUAUUUUCUUCCUGCUUUCUUUCAAAGGAAUGCAAAGAAUGAGAAUGACAGAAGUUUUGAUUUGUGAUUUAGGCACUAUCUGAAGGCACUUUAGGGAAUGUGAGCCCUGAACUGAUACAUUGUGACCCUAGGUACAGAAAUUACUUAAAUUCUCUGGGCCUUAGUUUUCUGAUCUGUGAAAUAUAAAUAAUAAUAUCUGUUCUAUUGAUGCAGGAUUUUUUGCUCCUCAGCUCAGCUAAAUCUGGGUUCUUGUCUCACAACGAGGAAAAAUUACGCACAUGGACACACUAAAAGGAGAUGUUUCUUUUGUGUAUCUUGCUGUUUUGGUAGUCACCUGUUUGCAGUGGCACCAUUGAAUCUAUCUUCAAGAAGCUGAGAAAGCAGAAACCUGGGAAUUAAUGGAUUCAGUAUUAUAAAUCAACUUGGAUGGAGCUGGAGACCAUUAUUCUAAGUGAAGUAACUCAGAAAUAGAAAACCAAACACCAUAUGUUCUCACUUUUAAGUGGGAGCUAAGCUAUGGGUAUGCGAAGGCAUACAGAACGGUAUAAUGGACACUGGAGAGUCAAAAGCAGCCGACUUGGAGGGGAUGAGGAAUAAUAUUGGGUAUGAUGCACACUGUUCAGAUCAGGAAAUCCUGAGAGUUGUCAUGAAACCCUCUGCCACAUUUCCAAUAUUUUAUUAGUAGGGAAAUAGUGAAAAUGAAUGGAUCUGACAGACACAAGCAAUUGAGAGUAUGGCCUAAAGAAAAAAAAUCCACUGAACAUCAUGCAAUUAGAAGUGCCAUUAGGAAAGGGGUCAAUGGAUUGGCUGGAGAAAGCUGGAAGCUUGAAAUGACUGUCUACAAGGUGAUCAAGAACACAGCACCUGGAUGAAGGGAGGAGCAAGAGGAAAGGUGGUGACAGUAAGCAAGGAGAGCAAACCUUCAGAGGGCUAAGGGGAAGCCCUUCACCCCUACAGUUUUGGCACUGUGAACAGGAUCUCAUCAAAGCUGCUCUGCUUUUCAGGGAGCCACAGUGAAAGAAACCCAGGACCUGACAAGCCAACAGAAAGGUAAGAAUUUUUACCAGCCAGGCUCCUGGUCUCUCUUCCUGUGGAAUUUGACUGAGCUGACGCUAAAAACCCACUAUUUGUCUCUCUUUUUCUCUGCAAAGUUCUGAUUAAUAGGAGAAAAAAAUUUGUGUGAGUAGUCUUGGGUAUAGCAAUGCUGGUAUAUUUUAUGGUAUAAAUAUUCAUAUUGUUUGAUUCCUAUCAUACCCAAAACAGACUAUGUUGGUUAAUACUGAGUGUCAACUUAAUUGGAUUGAAGGAUGAAAAGGGUUGUUCCUGGGUGUAUCUGUGAGGGUAUUGCCAAAAGAGAUUAACAUUUGAGUCACUGAAUUGGGAAAUGCAGAACCACCCUCAAUCUGGAUAGGCACAAUCUAAUCAGUUGCCAGUGCAGCUAGAAUAAAAGCAGGCAAAGAAAUGUGGAAAGACUAGACUGGCUUAGUCUUUUGGCCUACAUCUUUCCCCCAUGCUGGAUACUUCCUGCCCUCAAAAAUUGGACUCCAAGUUCUUCAGCUUUUCGGCUCUUGAACCUUCAACCACAGACUGAAGGCUGCACUGUUGGCUUCCCUAUUUUUGAGAUUUUGGGACUCGGACUGUAUUCCUUGCUCCUCAGCUUGCAGAGGGCCUUUUGUGGGUCCUCACCUUGUGAUUGUGUGAGUCAAUACUCCUUAAUAAACUCUCCUUUAUGUAUACAUGUAUCCUAUUAGUUCUGUUCCUCUAGAGAACCUUGACUAA